Entelurus aequoreus (snake pipefish) is the source of this 73-nucleotide non-coding RNA. NCBI's taxonomy places the organism in Eukaryota, Metazoa, Chordata, Actinopteri, Syngnathiformes, Syngnathidae. The record is from the annotation of a RefSeq genome assembly.
GCCCAGAUAGCUCAGUUGGGAGAGCAUGAGACUGAAGAUCUCAGGGUCGCUGGUUCAAGCCCGGCUUUGGGCA